AGCAGCCGCGGUAAUUCCAGCUCCAAUAGCAUAUAUUAAAGUUGCUGCGGUUAAAAAGCUCGUAGUUGAAUUUCGGGAUUGAUGCAUCGGUCGUGCCUUAAGGGGUAUGAACUGGUGUAGCCAAUUUCUCACCUUCUGGUGAAUUGUGACGUCCUUAAUUGGGUGUUUCAAUGAACUAGGACUUUUACUUUGAAAAAAUUAGAGUGUUUAAAGCAGGCAUUUUUGCUUGAAUACAUUAGCAUGGAAUAAUAAAAUAGGACGAUGGCUCUAUUUUGUUGGUUUCUAGGAUCACGUAAUGAUUAAUAGGGAUAGUUGGGGGCAUUAGUAUUCAAUUGUCAGAGGUGAAAUUCUUGGAUUUAUUGAAGACUAACUACUGCGAAAGCAUUUGCCAAGGAUGUUUUCAUUAAUCAAGAACGAAAGUUAGGGGAUCGAAGACGGUCAGGUACGUCGUAGUCUUAACCAUAAACUAUGCCGACUAGGAAUCAGACAAUGUUAAAUUUUUAAUGACUUGUUUGGCACCUUACGG
Molecule: ribosomal RNA, 526 nt
Filed under: uncultured Entrophosporaceae
Lineage: Eukaryota; Fungi; Glomeromycota; Glomeromycetes; Entrophosporales; Entrophosporaceae
Description: SSU rRNA
Rfam family: Eukaryotic small subunit ribosomal RNA
Source: RNAcentral